AUUGAACGCUGGCGGCAUGCCUUACACAUGCAAGUCGAACGGUAACAGGUCUUCGGACGCUGACGAGUGGCGAACGGGUGAGUAAUACAUCGGAACGUGCCUAGGAGUGGGGGAUAACUACUAGAAAGAGUGGCUAAUACCGCAUGCGGUCUACGGAUGAAAGCAAGGGAUCGGAAGACCUUGUGCUAAUAGAGCUGCCGAUGGCGAAGUAGGUAGUUGGUGGGAUAAAAGCUUACCAAGGCGACGAUCUGUAGCUGGUCUGAGAGGACGAUCAGCCACACUGGGACUGAGACACGGCCCAGACUCCUACGGGAGGCAGCAGUGGGGAAUUUUGGACAAUGGGCGCAAGCCUGAUCCAGCAAUGCCGCGUGCAGGAUGAAGGCCUUCGGGUUGUAAACUGCUUUUGUACGGAACGAAAAGCCCCGGGUUAAUACCCUGGGGUCAUGACGGUACCGUAAGAAUAAGCACCGGCUAACUACGUGCCAGCCGCCGCGGUAA
RNAcentral lists this ribosomal RNA (498 nucleotides) under uncultured bacterium. RNAcentral describes it as "partial 16S ribosomal RNA". It matches the Rfam family "Bacterial small subunit ribosomal RNA", at positions 30 to 523 of the family's 1533-position model. The record is from RNAcentral.